Long non-coding RNA from Oncorhynchus keta (chum salmon), 2138 nucleotides. RefSeq lists it as uncharacterized. The transcript is spliced from 3 exons. NCBI's taxonomy places the organism in Eukaryota, Metazoa, Chordata, Actinopteri, Salmoniformes, Salmonidae. The record is from RefSeq and is a predicted model, not a curated record.
CCCAUGGGGUGGGAAACUCUGCUCUAGGGCAAAGCAGGCAGGGUAAUGCAUUGGUCCGCCAUCAACUCCACUGGCUUCUCCAUUUCCAUACCUUUACGUUCUCUCUCUGUCUCACUCUCACACUCCCUCAGUUUCUCUUGUCAAUAUUUGAUGGAAUGUGACUCUUUCCCCCUAAACCUCUAGCCAUGAAUUUCCUGAUUGGAUGAAGUAUGAGCCACGACCAAUUACAGAGAAUGUGUGGUGUCAUGUGAGAUGGAGUUGAUCUGGAUGUGCAGCCAUGUUUGGAAUAGCUCUGAACUGCAGAUUUCAUUAUGAAGGCACCGCUGGUUCUGCAUUUGUAUCCAUCUGGAAUCCAGGAGAUGAAAUGGAGCAGUGAAGUUCCUCAGUGUCCAAAUCACAAAGGACUUAAAAUGGCCCACUCCCACAUGCACAGUCGGGAAGAAGGCGCAACCUCUACAUCAGGCGGAGUGAAAGGAAGGCCGGCCCGGACUCCAGCCAGGCAAGCGGUACCAGUGCAACAAGUCUGACACCAACAGGCUCCUGAACAACUUCUAUCCUCAAUCCAUAAGACCCCUAAAUAGCUAACAUAACUUCUACACAGACUGAGUUUACUCUUGUAUUUUAUAUUAUUUAUUUAAUGAAAUGUUUAUCUCUAUGCACACUCACAGGACUCUACACACUCUGACACACAUAACCUGCUCACACAUUUAUACUGACUCUACACAUGCACACACACACACACACAACAUGCACUCACAUUUAUACUGACUCUAUACUAUAUACUGACAUGCACACACACUCACAUACAAUCAGAAUUGAUGCUGCUGCUACUCUAUGUAUCAUAUAUCCUGAUGCCUAGUCACCUUACCCCUACACAUAUCUACCUCUUUCACUCCAGUAUCCCUGCACAUUGUAAAUAUGGUACUAGAACUAACCUGGUGCAUAGCUUCUUACUUUCUCUUGUUCUUAUUUCUAUUUGAUGUGUUUUUGUUCUACCUUAUUUUAUUUUUAGUGCUACAUUGAUAUUGAUUACUGCUUUGUUGGGCUUGUAGCUUGCAAGAAAGGCCUUUCACUGUACUUGUGCAUGUGACAUUAAAAUUCAUCAUUUGUGGGGAUGAAAUUUGGAGUCCCAAACUAAAUGCCUCUGUAGCGCCAAACGUACCGAGUUGAUUUAUGUGCUCUAGAAUGUUUUAAUUAAAUGCCCGGGCUUUUCACAUUUUUUUUUUAUCAUGUUAAAUAUUAGCCACUAUGGAUAGCCACUGUCAAUAAUUCCCACAUCCAUUUAUAACUGUCACUUUAGUGUUAGUUUCCUUCCAUUUGUAGCCUACAUUUUGCAUCAAUCCAUUCCAUUUACCUUUCUUUCCUUUGUGACGUCCGUAUAGUUGUUCCUGAGGAUCAUAUUAGGCUGUUGUGCAAUAAUUUGUGACAUGUAGCCUAUUUGAAUCAUUAUGUAUAUCAUGUUUCAGGUAAGACCCAAAUGCAGACUGUGUUGAAGUAACAAUGCUUAUUACAGCAACAGGAGCAGGCAAACGACAGGUCAAGGCAGCAGGGGUCGAUAAUCCAGAGUAGUGGGACAAAGGUACAGGAAGGCAGACAGGCUCAAGGUCAGGUCAGGCAGAGGUCGGUAAUCCAGAGUAGGGGCAAAGAUGUAGGACGGCAGGCUCAGGGUCAAGGGAAGGCAGAGUGGUCAGGCAGGUAAGGGUCAAAACCAGGAGAGCAAGAAUAAGAGAGACUGGGGGAAAAGCAGGCGCCGAGACAAAACGCAGGUUGACUUGACAAACAAGAUGAACUGGCAACAGACAAACAGAGAACACAGUUAUACGUACCCAGGGGAUAAUGGGGAAGAUGGGCGACACCUGGGAGGAAGGAGACAAGCAUAAGGACAGGUGAUACAGAUCAGGGUGUGACAAUGAAACUCAGACCACACUUAGCAUUUUAAACCUGGAGCCUGGCGUUCGGUUCACGACAACUGGACCGUUGUAAUUACAGUUCCAUGAUUAGUGGGGAUUAGAGUAAACUAUUGUUCAAGAACACCUUCCAAUAUUUCAUGGAUUGAACAAUAAAUGCCAUAUGUUGGUAACUUUCAGCAUGAAUCAAACCACUGUAUUUUUUUAUUCAUCAAUAUAUUUCACGUGUAA